This 1714-nucleotide long non-coding RNA is filed under the name Saccoglossus kowalevskii. RNAcentral describes it as "uncharacterized LOC100370718". Lineage: Eukaryota; Metazoa; Hemichordata; Enteropneusta; Harrimaniidae. The record is from RNAcentral.
UUCACAUUCUUCGACGAGAGACUGUGAGUUUGUUAUUUGAUUUUCUUCUGAGGCGUUAUAAUAUUGUGGCGGGUAAUCUUUUCUACUCUCAUAAGCCUAUUCCGUAUUUUGAAUUAACAUUUCAGAAGUACUUUGCCCGGAUUCUCAUCCAUAAUUGUAUCUGAAGAAAAAGUUAUUCAUAAAAAGUACAAUGCCGGACAAUAAGGGGACAUUUCGAGAAGUUCUACCAAAACAAGGAAUGCUGUACCAAGAAGACAUUCCAACCACAGUUCUGUGUAAACCCAAAUUGAUGGCGUUAAAAUCAGUGACACUGGAGAAGUUAGAAAAAAUGCAGAAAAAUGCACAGGAGACGGUAAAGCAACAGGAAUUGAUGCAACAAAUGGAUCAGGGUAGUCUGAUGGGACCACCACAAUCGGGAUUGCCGGAAUUCUAAUUUGUGACAUUCAUUGAAUGUGUAUAUAUUAUUGUUUUAACAAUGAUGUCAUAUUAUUAUCCAACUCAAGCUAUAGCUAUUCCAUGUGAAUAUCACAAGAAUAAGUCUUGUGAAUUGAAUACCCAGAACUACCCAACUAAGAAAACAAACGUACCUGUCCAAGCUGUGAAUAAUGACCAGAACACGCAUGUAUUCCCAGCCAAAACUACAGUGAUACCAAAUCACAAAUGGGUUCCCCAACAGAAGUGCGAGUAUUUGGAGAAAACUACUCAAGUGGUAAAUCCAAAGGAGAAAUUUUCUGAGCCAGCUCAGCGUUUGUUUCCAAUGAAAACAUCAUACAUUUCCAACUCAAGAGAGACUUAUGUUGAGCCAAAAUGCUUUCUUUCAAGAACUGUAAAUAUUUCUAGGAGUCACAGCACAUAUUUGAAAUGCAAGAAGAAGAACCUGAAUAGCAUAAACUGUUUGUUUUCAUGCUUUGUUCAUAAAAGAGAAACUUAAAUGUUAUCUUUGGUGUGACCAAACAGUGAGAUGCAGAAUAGGUUUUUUAUAUUUAUACUUUGUUUAUUGUCACUUGUAUACACAUUUAUAUUCAUCUAAAACACUCCCUUCAACUCAAGUUUGCUAGUUUAAAAAAUUUGAAAUCUGGAACCAUUAAUUUGAAUUACGUCCAUCUAGUCAUUUCUCACAACUCAAGUCCUGAAACAUUACAUAUGGUACUGCGUUGCAGGAGCACAUUUUUUUUUUACAACAGGUCUCAAUACGAGAGUAUUCUUAUAUGACCCACUGUUGGCCAUUUUGUUGUUGCUACCACCAGUUCAUAUUAGGUUCUUGUACAUGUAGUGCAAUGCAUCAUGGGAUAUAUAUCUAAUUUUGUUUUGUGAUCUGAUCCAAUAGACCUUUUUUUCAAAUGGCUGCCAAAAUCUAGUUGAAAGCAAAAGAGCCACGCGACUUGUUUAUGCUGUCUAUCGCCAUCUUGUCUACUGUUCCAAAUACCGUGGUUAUGUAGGUCAGGGAACAGGGGAGAAUGUUUCAGAGGAUAAGGUCAGUUUGUCUGAUACAUUUUGGAUUAAAUCCAGAAACUUGAAUGUGUUUGCAACAACUGUUUCUUGGAGAUGACUGGGUUAAUUUUUUUUCAGCGAGCAUAAUUAUAUAGCAGUGUUGGUGCUGUGUUGAAAUUAAAUGGUUUACAGUAUAUCAGAUGGCCUGUUUAUUUUUAGUAUUUAUUUAUAUAUCUUUGUGAAGCAAAUCUCUUAAAAAAUAAAUUUUUAAAACAUUGAAAUA